RNAcentral lists this ribosomal RNA (595 nucleotides) under Salmonella enterica. RNAcentral's name for it is "partial 23S ribosomal RNA". It matches the Rfam family "Bacterial large subunit ribosomal RNA", at positions 594 to 1190 of the family's 2925-position model. Lineage: Bacteria; Pseudomonadati; Pseudomonadota; Gammaproteobacteria; Enterobacterales; Enterobacteriaceae. The record is from RNAcentral.
UGACUGCGUACCUUUUGUAUAAUGGGUCAGCGACUUAUAUUCUGUAGCAAGGUUAACCGAAUAGGGGAGCCGGAGGGAAACCGAGUCUUAACCGGGCGUUAAGUUGCAGGGUAUAGACCCGAAACCCGGUGAUCUAGCCAUGGGCAGGUUGAAGGUUGGGUAACACUAACUGGAGGACCGAACCGACUAAUGUUGAAAAAUUAGCGGAUGACCUGUGGCUGGGGGUGAAAGGCCAAUCAAACCGGGAGAUAGCUGGUUCUCCCCGAAAGCUAUUUAGGUAGCGCCUCGUGAAUUCAUCUCCGGGGGUAGAGCACUGUUUCGGCUAGGGGGCCAUCCCGGCUUACCAACCCGAUGCAAACUGCGAAUACCGGAGAAUGUUAUCACGGGAGACACACGGCGGGUGCUAACGUCCGUCGUGAAGAGGGAAACAACCCAGACCGCCAGCUAAGGUCCCAAAGUCAUGGUUAAGUGGGAAACGAUGUGGGAAGGCCCAGACAGCCAGGAUGUUGGCUUAGAAGCAGCCAUCAUUUAAAGAAAGCGUAAUAGCUCACUGGUCGAGUCGGCCUGCGCGGAAGAUGUAACGGGGCUAAACCAU